This 440-nucleotide ribosomal RNA is filed under the name uncultured bacterium. RNAcentral's name for it is "partial 16S ribosomal RNA". It matches the Rfam family "Bacterial small subunit ribosomal RNA", at positions 338 to 795 of the family's 1533-position model. The record is from RNAcentral.
CCUACGGGCGGCAGCAGUGGGGAAUAUUGCACAAUGGGCGAAACCCUGAUCCAGCGACGCCGCGUGAGUGAAGAAGUAAUUCGUUAUGUAAAGCUCUAUCAGCAGGGAAGAAAAUGACGGUACCUGAGUCAGAAGCCCCGGCUAACUACGUGCCAGCACCCGCGGUAAUACGUAGGGAGCAAGCGUUAUCCGGAUUUACUGGGUGUAAAGGGAGCGUAGACGGCAGUGCAAGUCUGGAGUGAAAGGCGGGGGCUCAACCCCCGGACUGCUCUGGAAACUGUACGGCUGGAGUGCAGGAGAGGUAGGUGGAAUUCCUGGUGUAGCGGUGAAAUGCGUAGAUAUUAGGAGGAACACCAGUGGCGAAGGCGGCUUACUGGACUGUAACUGACGUUGAGGCUCGAAAGCGUGGGGAGCAAACAGGAUUAGAUACCCGGGUAGUC